CCUACGGGAGGCUGCAGUGGGGAAUCUUGCGCAAUGGGCGAAAGCCUGACGCAGCAACGCCGCGUGGGGGAUGAAGGCUCUCGGGUUGUAAACCCCUUUCAGCAGGGACGAAAUUGACGGUACCUGCAGAAGAAGCCCCGGCUAACUACGUGCCAGCAGCCGCGGUAACACGUAGGGGGCAAGCGUUGUCCGGAUUUAUUGGGCGUAAAGAGCUCGUAGGUGGCUAAGUAAGUCGGGUGUCAAAUCCCCAGGCUCAACCUGGGUCUCCACCCGAUACUGCUUUGGCUAGAGUCCGGUAGGGGAGCGUGGAAUUCCUGGUGUAGCGGUGAAAUGCGCAGAUAUCAGGAGGAACACCAGCGGCGAAGGCGGCGCUCUGGGCCGGUACUGACACUGAGGAGCGAAAGCGUGGGUAGCAAACAGGAUUAGAUACCCUUGUAGUC
This 440-nucleotide ribosomal RNA is filed under the name uncultured Iamia sp. RNAcentral's name for it is "bacterial SSU rRNA". It matches the Rfam family "Bacterial small subunit ribosomal RNA", at positions 338 to 795 of the family's 1533-position model. The record is from RNAcentral. Lineage: Bacteria; Bacillati; Actinomycetota; Acidimicrobiia; Acidimicrobiales; Iamiaceae.